Molecule: ribosomal RNA, 403 nt
Filed under: Bradyrhizobium elkanii
Lineage: Bacteria; Pseudomonadati; Pseudomonadota; Alphaproteobacteria; Hyphomicrobiales; Nitrobacteraceae
Description: bacterial LSU rRNA
Rfam family: Bacterial large subunit ribosomal RNA
Source: RNAcentral
AAUCAAGUGCCUUAAGGGUGUUCGGUGGAUGCCUUGGCGCUGAGAGGCGAUGAAGGACGUGCUACGCUGCGAUAAGCCGUGGGGAGCUGCGAAGAAGCUUUGAUCCGCGGAUUUCCGAAUGGGGAAACCCACCUUCGAUAGCCGGAACUCCAAGACCUUGUGUGUUGGGGUUCGACCAGAAAUGCGGGAAAUCAAACCGCGAGGUUUUGGAUUUCCGGUUAUCAAGAGAAGGUAUGAGACCUCCGAAUAAAAUAGGAGGUUUUAAGCAAACCCAGGGAACUGAAACAUCUAAGUACCUGGAGGAAAGGACAUCAAUCGAGACUCCGUUAGUAGUGGCGAGCGAACGCGGACCAGGCCAGUGAUACAUCAAAGACAAUCGGAACCUGUCAGGAAAGCAGGGCCU